CUCAGCAGUCAGCUGGUUGGGCCUCACUCUCAGGCUAAAACUGGGCUAAAACGAGAGAGCUGUGUGCGGUGCGGUGUAAUUUUAAUUAAUGUUUUCAUUGCGCUGCAGGAAGGCAAGUGGGAGCCGGGAGCCUGGAAUGAACCAAGGCAAUCAAAUCCAACGCGAGCGCAAUCGACACCGGAACACCGAGGCCCACGAGCUCCACCGCCCGCCGCUUUGGCCGCUCACUGGUUGCGGAAGGCCCGCUCCAGAAUCCAGUCGACGUACAUGGAUACUCGGGUGUAGACGCCCGGGAACUUGGGGUGGCCGCAGCCGACGCCCGUCGAGACGAUACCCACCAGCUGGACCCGACCCGACGCCCGGUCACGCGCAGAGCUUUUUGUCGGUGAAGCCGCCCGGGAACUGGUUCUUGAAGCUGGAGGACGACUCGUAGACGGCCUGGCAGUCGGGCAAGGCCACCACCGGCAGCUUCA
This is a long non-coding RNA of Amphibalanus amphitrite, 473 nucleotides long. RefSeq lists it as uncharacterized. NCBI's taxonomy places the organism in Eukaryota, Metazoa, Arthropoda, Thecostraca, Balanomorpha, Balanidae. The transcript is spliced from 3 exons. The record is from RefSeq and is a predicted model, not a curated record.